RNAcentral lists this ribosomal RNA (497 nucleotides) under uncultured bacterium. Its description in RNAcentral is "partial 16S ribosomal RNA". It matches the Rfam family "Bacterial small subunit ribosomal RNA", at positions 28 to 507 of the family's 1533-position model. The record is from RNAcentral.
GAUGAACGCUGGCGGCGUGCCUAAUACAUGCAAGUCGAGCGAACGGACGAGAAGCUUGCUUCUCUGAUGUUAGCGGCGGACGGGUGAGUAACACGUGGAUAACCUACCUAUAAGACUGGGAUAACUUCGGGAAACCGGAGCUAAUACCGGCUAAUAUUUUGAACCGCAUGGUUCAAAAGUGAAAGACGGUCUUGCUGUCACUUAUAGAUGGAUCCGCGCUGCAUUAGCUAGUUGGUAAGGUAACGGCUUACCAAGGCAACGAUGCAUAGCCGACCUGAGAGGGUGAUCGGCCACACUGGAACUGAGACACGGUCCAGACUCCUACAGGGGGCAGCAGUAGGGAAUCUUCCGCAAUGGGCGAAAGCCUGACGGAGCAACGCCGCGUGAGUGAUGAAGGUCUUCGGAUCGUAAAACUCUGUUAUUAGGGAAGAACAUAUGUGUAAGUAACUGUGCACAUCUUGACGGUACCUAAUCAGAAAGCCACGGCUAACUACGUG